Molecule: small nuclear RNA, 103 nt
Organism: Ailuropoda melanoleuca (giant panda)
Lineage: Eukaryota; Metazoa; Chordata; Mammalia; Carnivora; Ursidae
Source: Ensembl
UCGCUUUAGCAGCACAUGCACUAAAAUUGGAAUGCUCCGGAGAAGCUUAGGAUGGCCCCCGUGCAAGAAUGAUGCACAAAUUUAUGAAGCAUUCCACAUUUUU